Molecule: long non-coding RNA, 216 nt
Filed under: Eucalyptus grandis
Lineage: Eukaryota; Viridiplantae; Streptophyta; Magnoliopsida; Myrtales; Myrtaceae
Description: long non-coding RNA (EGRA_LNC005741)
Source: RNAcentral
GCAUCCUUUCUCCCAAGCAGCGAAGCCGAACCAGACACCAGAAGAAACAGGGGAGAACGCGAGAACAGAGGAGCCAUAGCCUGCGUGUGUCGAGACUCCAGGGGUCGGGUUGUCGACGGCUAUGCGAAAUUGGUGGUCGCGUCUUCGGCAGAACAGGCGGAGGCCAUAGCCCUCCUUGAAACCCUAAUCUUUCUCUCCAACCGAACUCACCUUUCA